AUUGAACGCUGGCGGCAUGCCUUACACAUGCAAGUCGAACGGUAACAGGUCUUCGGAUGCUGACGAGUGGCGAACGGGUGAGUAAUACAUCGGAACGUGCCUAGUAGUGGGGGAUAACUGCUCGAAAGAGUGGCUAAUACCGCAUGAGAUCUACGGAUGAAAGCAGGGGAUCGCAAGACCUUGUGCUACUAGAGCGGCCGAUGGCAGAUUAGGGAGUUGGUGGGAUAAAAGCUUACCAAGCCGACGAUCUGUAGCUGGUCUGAGAGGACGAUCAGCCACACUGGGACUGAGACACGGCCCAGACUCCUACGGGAGGCAGCAGUGGGGAAUUUUGGACAAUGGGCGAAAGCCUGAUCCAGCAAUGCCGCGUGCAGGAUGAAGGCCUUCGGGUUGUAAACUGCUUUUGUACGGAACGAAAAGCCCUGGGUUAAUACCCUGGGGUCAUGACGGUACCGUAAGAAUAAGCACCGGCUAACUACGUGCCAGCAGCCGCCGCCG
RNAcentral lists this ribosomal RNA (498 nucleotides) under uncultured bacterium. Its description in RNAcentral is "partial 16S ribosomal RNA". It matches the Rfam family "Bacterial small subunit ribosomal RNA", at positions 30 to 523 of the family's 1533-position model. The record is from RNAcentral.